UCGCGGUCCAAAGCUGAUGACGCGGCGUCUCCUGAUUUGUUCAGUCUUAUUAUUAAUUAUGUUUUUAACGAAUUUACGACAGUCAUGUGUGAGUGGGCAAAAUAAUGGUGAUGGAUGCUCCUGCCGCGGCUGGAAACAACUCUGCCGUCCAUUUUGUUGUUGUUGUCAAAACCGAUCUGGUUUAUUUACGAAAGAGAGGG
RNAcentral lists this long non-coding RNA (200 nucleotides) under Elaeis guineensis (African oil palm). RNAcentral's name for it is "long non-coding RNA (EGUI_LNC002010)". The record is from RNAcentral. Lineage: Eukaryota; Viridiplantae; Streptophyta; Magnoliopsida; Arecales; Arecaceae.